Molecule: ribosomal RNA, 304 nt
Filed under: uncultured Anaeroplasma sp.
Lineage: Bacteria; Bacillati; Mycoplasmatota; Mollicutes; Anaeroplasmatales; Anaeroplasmataceae
Description: partial 16S ribosomal RNA
Source: RNAcentral
GGAGUAUGGGCCGUUCUCAGUCCCAUUGUGGCUGUUCAACCUCUCAGUCCAGCUACGCAUCAUCGCCUUGGUGGGCCCUUACCUCACCAACUAGCUAAUGCGCCGCAGGCCCCUCUUAUGGUGGAUCGCUCCUUUAAACAUUUAAUCAUGUGAUUUAUAAUGUCCUAUCCAGUAUUAUCCUUCGUUUCCAAAGGUUAUCCUCGUCCUUAAGGUAGGUUACCUACGUGUUACCCACCCGUUCGCCAUGGACUAGCAAGCUAGUCCAUUCGACUUGCAUGUAUUAGGCAUGCCGCCAGCGUUAAUC